This 30-nucleotide non-coding RNA is filed under the name Mus musculus (house mouse). Lineage: Eukaryota; Metazoa; Chordata; Mammalia; Rodentia; Muridae. The record is from RNAcentral.
UACAAAGAAACCUUGUCUCAAAAUAAAAUA